Molecule: ribosomal RNA, 921 nt
Filed under: uncultured Actinomycetes bacterium
Lineage: Bacteria; Bacillati; Actinomycetota; Actinomycetes
Description: bacterial SSU rRNA
Rfam family: Bacterial small subunit ribosomal RNA
Source: RNAcentral
GCAAGUCGAACGUGAAGCCGGAGCUUGCUCCGGUGGAAAGUGGCGAACGGGUGCGUAACACGUGAGCAACCUGCCCCGAAGACUGGGAUAACACCGGGAAACCGGUGCUAAUACCGGAUACCUUCUUCCGAUCGCAUGGUUGGAUGAAGAAAUGGAUUCCGCUUCGGGAUGGGCUCGCGGCCUAUCAGCUUGUUGGUGAGGUAACGGCCCACCAAGGCGACGACGGGUAGCUGGUCUGAGAGGACGACCAGCCACACUGGGACUGAGACACGGCCCAGACUCCUACGGGAGGCAGCAGUGGGGAAUCUUGCUCAAUGGGCGAAAGCCUGAAGCAGCGACGCCGCGUGCGGGAUGAAGGCCCUCGGGUUGUAAACCGCUUUCAGCAGGGACGAAAUUGACGGUACCUGCAGAAGAAGGCCCGGCCAACUACGUGCCAGCAGCCGCGAUAAUACGUAGGGGCCUAGCGUUGUCCGGAUUUAUUGGGCGUAAAGAGCUCGUAGGCGGUUUGGUGAGUCGGGUGUGAAAUCUCCACGCUCAACGUGGAGGAGCCACCCGAUACUGCCAUGACUAGAGUCCGGUAGGGGAGUGUGGAAUUCCCGGUGUAGCGGUGAAAUGCGCAGAUAUCGGGAGGAACACCAGUAGCGAAGGCGACACUCUGGGCCGGUACUGACGCUGAGGAGCGAAAGCGUGGGGAGCAAACAGGAUUAGAUACCCUGGUAGUCCACGCUGUAAACGUUGGGCACUAGGUGUGGGACUCUAUCGACGGGUUCCGUGCCGUAGCUAACGCAUUAAGUGCCCCGCCUGGGGAGUACGGCCGCUAGGCUAAAACUCAAAGGAAAUUGACGGGGGGCCCGCACAAGCGGCGGAGCAUGUGGCUUAAUUCGAUGCACCGCGAAGAACCUUACCUGGGCUUGACAUUUA